This 330-nucleotide ribosomal RNA is filed under the name Rhogostoma sp. RNAcentral describes it as "SSU rRNA". The stretch from base 117 to 330 matches the Rfam family "Eukaryotic small subunit ribosomal RNA", at positions 743 to 955 of the family's 1831-position model. Lineage: Eukaryota; Cercozoa; Thecofilosea; Cryomonadida; Rhogostomidae. The record is from RNAcentral.
GAUUUCUGGUUUGGUAUGCCUGACCCGGUGUGGUUACACAUUCGUGUGUCGGUGCGUGCCUGCCAUCCUUCUAGAACACUAUGGAUCAUUCUUCAUUGGGUGUGUCUAUAGUCGUACUAGAUCUUUUACUUUGAAAAAAUUAGAGUGUUUAAAGCAGGCAGUGUUUGCUAUGAAUACAUUAGCAUGGAAUAAUAAUCUAGGACUUCGGUUCUAUUUUGUUGGUUUCUAUAACUGAAGUAAUGAUUGAUAGGGAUAGUUGGGGGUGCUAGUAUUGGCCGGCCAGAGGUGAAAUUCUUGGAUUCGGUCAAGACUAACUUAUGCGAAAGCAUU